This 882-nucleotide long non-coding RNA is filed under the name Homo sapiens (human). Its description in RNAcentral is "long non-coding RNA NONHSAT234905". The record is from RNAcentral. Lineage: Eukaryota; Metazoa; Chordata; Mammalia; Primates; Hominidae.
AGAGCUCACAAGCACCAUAGUGAUCAGUCUGAAGGGAUUAUUAGUGCCAGCCAGCCAGUCUGCUGUGUAGUCAGUGCUCUUUCUUUGUAGCCAGAGAUGUAGGACUUGGGAGGCUCCUGAGAACAGCAUCACUCUAUUUGCAAGUUUGGUUGUAAUGUCUGAGACUUGCUUCAGGAAUUGUAAUGUCAAAAUAUAAUACAUCCUUUCCCAGGAACCAUCACUGACAUAAAAUAGCAGGUUGAGCAGGUUGGCAAUGUAGUAUUUGUGGGAAAUUGAGGAAAGAAUGGUUAACUGUCCACUGGAGGUUGAGAAAGUCUCAAAGAAGUGAGAAUUGAAUUGAGUUGCAGGGAGGCGAGAAUUGAGUUGUAGGGAGGCAGGCAUAGGAAUGUGCCUUCUAGGUACUAGGAUCAGGCAACAAAGGCAUAUUCAAGACUGUCUAGUCCUCUGCCACACCUUGCCUCCACUAACUUUCCCUGAAGGGGCGCUGUCUGCUACUGUCGCGGACACAAAGGCUGACUAUGGCUUGGAAACUUGAGUACAGAGACAAGAGCGCUUUUCUGUACACAGCUAGGUUUCUGCUUGCUACCCAACUUUAAUAUAUUAUUUAAAGAUACAUACAUGUUCUAUAAAGACAAAUGACAUAAAAGUCAGGAUAAUGGCUACUUCUGGGCAGAGGAAGGGGAAUUAUCUUUGGUAAGAAGCACAUGGCCACACAGGUUGUCCACUGCACAACUCUAGGAGAGGCCGUGCACAGAGACCCUGGCUCCUUGAGUACUCGAGAAAAUCCAAGUGUGGGGUCCAUAGGCAUUCAUAUUUUUUCUACAGAAUAACGUGUAUUUUAUAUAGAUUUAUGAAUAUCUGAUUGCAUCAGGAAUUGGCACA